This is a non-coding RNA of Misgurnus anguillicaudatus (oriental weatherfish), 984 nucleotides long. NCBI's taxonomy places the organism in Eukaryota, Metazoa, Chordata, Actinopteri, Cypriniformes, Cobitidae. The record is from RefSeq and is a predicted model, not a curated record.
UAUCUGUCAAAAUUUGAUUGAUUUAUGACCCCUUUGACAGGGGGCGGGACUAUCAAUCAAAAGGUGUACAAUCUGUCUAGGUUUGAGAAUCGUAUAUCAAGGGCUUUAGACAGCGAGUAUCCUGUGCGUGUUUUACGAUGUGUCAAUCAGCUCGUUGUUAUUCCUGUGUGUGUGUGUGUGUUUUAUGUCAAGCCUAUGCUGUCAUGUUUAUUGCUGUCAAAAAUAAAGUUUAUAGUUUUAGACUGCGUAGUUUCACAAGCGGCCCUGUGCUGUCAGCGAUCUCUCUCUCUCUCUCUCUCUCGCCCCCACUGCGCGUCUCGCCCCAGCGCGUCACACAGCGAUGUGUGUUGUUGAAUCUAAAGUUUUGUAACAUCAAAAGUUUCUUUAAAGUCGUGCAAGAAUCAAAUAUAUAUAUAUAUUAGAUGUAUCUGGUUAAACUUAAAGCCGAUAUUUUCUAUCGAACUAUUUUCUUUAGUUUCUGAUCAGACACAAUGUUUCUGAUGCUGAUAUUAUAUCAGUGUGUUUGUGUGGGGGUCGUGUGAUGUAAUCUUUGAAAGUUUAUGACCGAACCUUUAUUGGGGAGCGACAAGAGAUCUCCGGGAUCAGUUUGGAUGGAGCAGUGCUGGUAUACUCAAACCUGGUGCGAAAUUGUCUAAACUGGUGUUAACUAUUCCUGGUAAAUCGCUGAGAAGAGUGGAAUGAACAAAAAAAAGACUGAUCAAACAGGCCGGUACCUUGGAACCUCCCGCUGCGUAGGACAAAGAGACGCCGAGUGACUCGUGCCGACCGUUUGGAUAUCGACGGCAAAGUUUGGAUAUCGUUGCAAGAUCUAGAGCGGAUCUCCACGGCUAGGAUACAGACCACAACGCUUUGGACGUGUCUUUAAAAAAGAGAAAAAUCAGAGACUUUGUGGACUUGUCUGGGACAUUUUAAACAUUUUGUGACAUAUUGGAUUUAAAACAUUUCGGAUACUGGAGAUUCAUG